GCAGUUGCAGCGUGGCGAGACAAAAAGUGUAUUGAACAUGAUGCAUAUGAGCAGUAAGACAACGCGCCACAGAGCCCUAAUCCUACACUUCCUCGCCCCCCACAACCCGGAAAAAACUAGUGCCUCAAUCCUCUUCCUCGGCAUCCUGGUCUGCGAUGUUGAAGUACCGCAAUUCGUACACAUUCCUGUCCUUGUUGGAUGCAAUCACCCGGAGCCAGUCCCUCACAUUGUGCUUCUUCAAGUACUUCUUCGUCAAAUAUUUCAAGUACCUGCAAGCUCCACGCCCGAGAUGGUACGUCAUGAGAAAUAUGAAACCUCCUUAGACAUCGGAACUCUUACCUUCCUAUGACACAGAUUUCUAACUAUUGAUCCAGAAUCAAGAGGUCGAUACAGAGGGGAUCCAUAGUGCCUGAAUCUAGUGCGAAAGUCAUAUCAAACAACCCAAACCGCACUAACUUCAGUGCCAGAGAUCUUCCAUUGUUCUGGAAUCCGCUAUCAACAUGCAUUGAGGUACACGUGUAUUGAUCAGGGUUCCUUCCAAGCCCUACAGAUUGUCGCAAACCCGUACAUUAAAACGCCGAAAAAUUCUAGGUUGCCAUGAGAGAUACAAGUGUGCGUAUGACGGAUAGACAAUGUCCUGGCACCCUGUGAAAAACUCUGUUGAAAAGCCUAUAGUCAUGAUAAAGACUACAUAGUCCAUGAAUUUUGAAAUCUAGUUCACAAGAAGCCCGAAUUAGUCAUUCGAAUUGCAUUUAUCUUCUUUUGAAGAUGACACGUUGAGGGAAAAAUCAGUUUUUUCCCAGCUGAAGUGAAAAAAAUUAUUUCUUAAAAAAGCCAUAUCUCAGUAGCCAAAUGAACAGUGAUAAAUUACUCGACGUGUUAGAGUAAGGAACAAGAUAGUUACGAUGUUAUUGGAACGCUUGUGUGUCACUUGAUGAGAGCGCAGAAAUUAUCUCAUACAAAAUGAAGAUGCACAUGAAAAUACAAGAGCUAGAGGGAAUGCUAAGAAGGAACGAAGGACGGGGACGGAUUGGCGCACCUCUUGGAGAAGGAGCUCUCGGAGGAGACGCUGAUCUUAUUCUUCUCGCGGGAGAUGGAGACAGCGCUGCCGAGCACGCCAGCCUUGCCGUCGACCUUGAUGCGGUCGUUGAGGAACUUCUCGAAGGAGGCGAUGUCCAUGAUCUUGUCCUCGACAGGCUUGCCACAGUCAAUGGUGAAGGUCUGGGCCUUCUUCUUCCCCUUCACGGGAGCCACCUUCUUGGGAACAGCCAUGGCCGGCAGAGAGGGGAGAGGAGCAGGAGGAAGAAGGGUAAAAGAGUAGGAGGAGGCUGUCGCACAGCAGCAAGGCUGCGCAGCGAGGCAGAAGAGGA
RNAcentral lists this long non-coding RNA (1370 nucleotides) under Physcomitrium patens. Its description in RNAcentral is "long non-coding RNA (PPAT_LNC000004)". The record is from RNAcentral. Lineage: Eukaryota; Viridiplantae; Streptophyta; Bryopsida; Funariales; Funariaceae.